GAUGAACGCUGGCGGCGUGCCUAACACAUGCAAGUCGAACGGGAAUCUUCGGAUUCUAGUGGCGGACGGGUGAGUAACGCGUAAGAAUCUAACUUCAGGACGGGGACAACAGUUGGAAACGACUGCUAUACCCGAUGUGCCGCAAGGUGAAACCUAAUUGGCCUGGAGAAGAGCUUGCGUCUGAUUAGCUAGUUGGUGGGGUAAGGGCCUACCAAGGCGACGAUCAGUAGCUGGUCUGAGAGGAUGAGCAGCCACACUGGGACUGAGACACGGCCCAGACUCCUACGGGAGGCAGCAGUGGGGAAUUUUCCGCAAUGGGCGAAAGCCUGACGGAGCAACGCCGCGUGAGGGAGGAAGGUCUUUGGAUUGUAAACCUCUUUUCUCAAGGAAGAAGUUCUGACGGUACUUGAGGAAUCAGCCUCGGCUAACUCCGUGCCAGCAGCCGCGGUAAUACGGGGGAGGCAAGCGUUAUCCGGAAUUAUUGGGCGUAAAGCGUCCGCAGGUGGUCAGCCAAGUCUGCCGUCAAAUCAGGUUGCUUAACGACCAAAGGCGGUGGAAACUGGCAGACUAGAGAGCAGUAGGGGUAGCAGGAAUUCCCAGUGUAGCGUGAAAUGCGUAGAGAUUGGGAAGAACAUCGGUGGCGAAAGCGUGCUACUGGGCUGUAUCUGACACUCAGGGACGAAAGCUAGGGGAGCGAAAGGGAUUAGAUACCCCUGUAGUCCUAGCCGUAAACGAUGGAUACUAAGCGUGGCUUGUAUCGACCCGAGCCGUGCCGAAGCUAACGCGUUAAGUAUCCCGCCUGGGGAGUACGCACGCAAGUGUGAAACUCAAGGAAUUGACGGGGGCCCGCACAAGCGGUGGAGUAUGUGGUUUAAUUCGAUGCAACGCGAAGAACCUUACCAAGACUUGACAUGUCGCGAACCCUGGUGAAAGCUGGGGGUGCCUUCGGGAGCGCGAACACAGGUGGUGCAGGCUGUCGUCAGCUCGUGUCGUGAGAUGUUGGGUUAAGUCCCGCAACGAGCGCAACCCUCGUUCUUAGUUGCCAGCAUUAAGUUGGGGACUCUAAGGAGACCUGCCGGUGACAAACCGGAGGAAGGUGGGGAUGACGUCAAGUAGCAUGCCCUUACGUCUUGGGCGACACACGUACUACAAUGGUCGGGACAAAGGGCAGCGAACUCGCGAGAGCCAGCGAAUCCCAGCAAACCCGGCCUCAGUUCAGAUUGCAGGCUGCAACUCGCCUGCAUGAAGGAGGAAUCUAGUAAUCGCCGGUCAGCAUACGGCGGUGAAUUCGUUCCCGGGCCUUGUACACACCGCCCGUCACACCAUGGAAGCGGUCACGCCCGAAGUCAUUACCUCAACCGCAAGGAGGGGGGAUGCCUAAGGCAGGGCUAGUGAUGGGGUGAAGUCG
This 1408-nucleotide ribosomal RNA is filed under the name Microcystis aeruginosa MCYS-LB01. RNAcentral describes it as "bacterial SSU rRNA". It matches the Rfam family "Bacterial small subunit ribosomal RNA". The record is from RNAcentral. Lineage: Bacteria; Bacillati; Cyanobacteriota; Cyanophyceae; Chroococcales; Microcystaceae.